Betta splendens (Siamese fighting fish) is the source of this 1902-nucleotide long non-coding RNA. The record is from Ensembl. Lineage: Eukaryota; Metazoa; Chordata; Actinopteri; Anabantiformes; Osphronemidae.
CUGUUUAUUUUAUGACGAGGGUGCGGUAGAUGUCAUGGGCUGAAUGUCAAUCUUUGCACACUCCAAAUGAAACGUGCUCAUCAGAGCUGAAUACACAUGCAGACUACAGUGUAUGUAUACAUACUGUACCUAUGGAUGAAUGACUCAGGACUGUUUGGGCCCUCUGGUCAUGUCUGUAGAGAUGCUGAGCAUAAGCAAUAACCUCUACAGACCAUUUCCCUGCUUUGAUUAGUUGAGGCUUUGCACAAAGAAGCCAAUUCCUGAUCCUCAAUCUUUUUUUAUAAUAAGGAUGGAGGGUUUUAUAUUUUCCACUCUACUCUUCCGGUAGUCGCGUGCGUCCACGGUAAAGUGCCGCGGGUCAGCGCCGCGGGUCAGCGCCGCGAGCUCGCUGCUGAUCCGUGUGCGACGCUUCGCUGCCGGCACAAAUCUGCCAUCAACAUGUAACAUGGGAGGAAAUGUCACAUAUGAACAUUUCUGGCAAGGACACGAUGACGCGUGACGCUCAGUGCUUCUGCGGAACCGGCUGCUGAUAGAAGUGUGAGCAUCAAAUAAAGGCAGUUAUGUUAAUACAUGUCACGCACGGAUGCCUCAUAAGCAGCCAGUCUCUGAUGCAGAAGCACAGAAGCUGCUGGUUCGUUUGCCAAGAACAACGCCCACCAGAACCGGGCCUCACCCCGGUGUCGAUGCUGUUUGGCUGCAGAGCGGAGAAAGCUGAGCGGCUGCAGAGGAAGCAGGGCACAUAUGGACGAGCGCUCGUAACGAACGCCUUCGCGCUCCACAUGAAACAGAACGACGCCGUGGAGCUGAGCCCACGCGCUGCACGGGGGGUGCGGCGUGGGCUCUGCGCUGGCUUCAGUCAGAGGAAGCCGACCCGCUGCACCGGAUCAGAACCACCGUCGUAGCUGCUUCAUUCAGCUAAAGGGAACAGCGGGAAACACAUGAAGCCUGUUCUCAUCCUGUUUGUCUUCUUCCACAGAUGCAGUUUUCACCAGACACCGGUUCUCAUACAAUGAGAUGCUGCAUUAAGUCCUUUAGGUAAAUGGAGCCCACGCUCUGAUUAUCCUCAGAUUUACUUCUGGGGCUUUGAGAACUCGGGUCUAUACGUACUGCACAUGGUGAAGGCGAACAGAAUGCGGUUUACGGGAAACGCUGCAAACCGUCUCUUUAAGCCCGAGGCUCCGGUUCCAGCAGCUCAAAGAAACACCAUUAAAUCCUGAGGUGAGCUUUGAACUGGGGCAAAAUGGGCUCAUUGGAGAAAACGGAGCCUCGCGUACAUUUACUGAAAAUCAAUCUGCAGCCUGUUCCCAUCGUGCAAAACGAUGAAGGGGAACAGAGGCCGACUGCAAAAUGAUUCUAGGGAACCAGUCUCAGGUUUGAUUCAUGAAGCUUCAAUAUGAAGGUGAGGCGUCGCUGAGCGUCUCCCUGUGGAUCGGCCAGUAUCUGCUUGGACCUGUGACUUCUUGACUGAUCAACGGGACAAAGGAGCUGCUGCUCGUUCUCGCUGCCAAUUAGCGCCAUGAUGCCCGUUAGUUUCCCUCCAGCUCCUGUAAUUGGAUCUCAAUUGGAAAACAUGGCGCCCGUUUCUCUUCCUCCUCUGCUUCCAACUGAGCGCGGAUCCGUUGUUUAUACAGCGGUUUAGCGGCUUUGCACCACUUUACUGGGAUUUGCUGAAUUCAUGUCGUGCUGCAGCUGUUGGAGUUGCUAGAGUGUAAAAUUGCUCAGAGUGGAUUAGUUUGCACCGGACACCUCAUUAAACUCUGCACUAGCUCACCUCUGAAUAUGAUUCUCCUACAAGACGGAUGGAAGUAACACAAAUGAAGUGGAUUUAAAGAAACAAAGACCGCAGGAAUCCGCUGGAUCAGUACAGGUCCUGUUUGUUUGGACGCUGCUCUCGUCAGCCGC